Molecule: long non-coding RNA, 577 nt
Filed under: Cavia porcellus (domestic guinea pig)
Lineage: Eukaryota; Metazoa; Chordata; Mammalia; Rodentia; Caviidae
Description: lncRNA (ENSCPOG00000030960.1)
Source: RNAcentral
CAGAGAUGAGUUGCACACUACCAUUUACACAUCAAGCUGCAGCUGAGGUUGAAGCUCAAGUCUUAUCAUCAGGGAAAACCCUCUGAAAGUGCUGGCAAAUGGUGACUGACGCAGAACUGGACACCACUUCGUAUCUUGUUUUUGCAGCAGAGAAUUUAGCAAGUUGGAAAGCAGUCCUUUUUGCACGUGGCUAACUUAAACAGAAGUUUCCGCACAUUCAGAGAUCUCUCAGCUCCCUUGCGUGUCCUAGUGUAUCCUGCACAUGGCACGGGUACCAUGCUCUCCUCACGUGGUAAGGACCUGUCCUCGGCAGAUACUGGGUGACGUUCACCUCCAAGAGACCCCGUCAUAACCAAAGGUACAAAGGAAGUAGCGAUGCACGUUUACUGAAAAAAAGAUGGAGAGAAGUGUGGGGAACACUCUCCACUGCAAGACACUCAAUUCAACCUUAAAAGCAGCAACUUUCUCCCAAAUAGCAAAGUGUAAAUAAAUUAACGAGCAAAAUAAGUGGUAGAUAAUAGGAAACAAGGAGACAGAUCUUGUGCAAAUGAGAAGAGGACCAAUGGAGAGGCCUGGG